AUUUGCUGACUGCUUUGCAUGUGCCCCUCCAACCAAGCCCAGCCUCUUGCAGUUUAUAAGUCGGGCCUGGAUAGUGAGACCUGAGCAUCAUCAGACAGACAGGGGAGCAAUAUGGAGUCACACACCCAGGUCCUCAUGUCUCUUCUGCUCUGGAUAUCUGGUGCCUGUGCAGAUAUCGUGAUGACCCAGUCUCCAUCCUCUUUGGCUGUGUCACCAGGAGAGAAGGUCACCAUCAGCUGCAAGUCCAGUCAGAGUCUUUUAUCCAGUGGAAAUCAGAAGAACUACUUGGCCUGGUACCAGCAGAAAGCAGGGCAGUCUCCUAAACUGCUGAUCUACUGGGCAUCCACUCGGCACACUGGGGUCCCUGAUCGCUUCAUAGGCAGUGGGUCUGGGACAGAUUUCACUCUCAGCAUCAGCAGUGUCCAGGCUGAAGACAUGGGAGAUUACUUCUGUCAGCAAUAUUAUAGUAAUCCUCCCACAGUGCUUCAGCCACUAUCAAAAACCUCCCCUGAGAGUCUCAGCGGUUACUUGUACCACACACAGCCCUGGGCCUGCACACUUCCUUCUUCUGCCUGAGAGUAUGGACUCUCA
Molecule: non-coding RNA, 591 nt
Organism: Mesocricetus auratus (golden hamster)
Lineage: Eukaryota; Metazoa; Chordata; Mammalia; Rodentia; Cricetidae
Source: the annotation of a RefSeq genome assembly